Molecule: non-coding RNA, 198 nt
Organism: Oryza meridionalis
Lineage: Eukaryota; Viridiplantae; Streptophyta; Magnoliopsida; Poales; Poaceae
Source: Rfam
AAUAAGUGCAGCUAUAAGUUUCCGUGUCUAACUUUAAUCCUCCGUCUUAUUUGAUUUUUUUUAUGAUUAGUAUUUUUAUUGUUAUUAGAUUAUAAAACAUUAAUAGUACUUUAUGUGUGACUUAUAUUUUUUAGUUUUUUAAAAAUAAAUAAAACAAAUGAUUAAAAUUGGAGACGGAUACUCGUAGCUGCGUUUAUU